Molecule: long non-coding RNA, 4128 nt
Filed under: Sus scrofa (pig)
Lineage: Eukaryota; Metazoa; Chordata; Mammalia; Artiodactyla; Suidae
Description: lncRNA (ENSSSCG00050040495.1)
Source: RNAcentral
UUUUUUUUUUUUUUAAUUUAAGUAUAGUUGAUUUACAAUGUUGUGUUAACUUCUGCUGUACAGCAAAGUGACUCAGAUGUAUGUAUAUAUACAUAUAUAAAUAUAUAUGAAACAUGUUAUAUAAAUAUAUAUAAACAUUUGUGUGUAUAUAUGUCUAUAUAUAUUUCCAUACUCUUGAAAAAUAUGAAAUUGAAAUUCUUAAUAACAUCUUUGGGUUUUUAUUUUGUAAGUGAAGUCUAGUGAGGGUAUGGGACAUGUCUCCUGUCACCUCUGUACCUCCCUGGGAUAGGUGCAGCUGCCAGCUCCCUUCAUUUUCUGGCCUCUCAGCCCUGUCCACUCUCCUCCUCACCCUACCCAGGACCAGGGGGACCUGGGCAACAGGCACAAGGAAGGUCAGGGUCAUGCGUCCUAGGGCGGGGCAUGGCAAUAGCUGUCCUGGAACGUCAGCACCGCAGUGCACCCAGUGGGCAUCUGGGUAGGGAUGAGGCUCUUACUCAUCCCCUGUGCAAGUGCAUCCUAGCAUGGAUGUUGCAGUCUCUUGGAGGCAUCCCUCCAAUGUGGUUUAUAGAAUAGAGGCCAGGGAAGACCUGGCUCAACUUCCCUACCUUUAACCAGAGCAUGGUCUGUUACUCCUACUAAUUGUUGGGGGUGGGGAGAACCAAGCAGCUGAUGGACCUUGAAGUCUCUCUGAACAAGAUAUCCUGCAUUUGCAUCUUGCACCAGGCCCUGCAAAUUAUAGAGCUGGCCCUGAUUCUAAGGUCUUUAUUUCCAGCCCAGAUUUCUUUUCCGUGUUGCAAAUGGUAUAUCUGCCUACAUGCUUGAACAUGGAUUCAUUUGGAUAUUUCUUAUGACAUUAAAGAUUCAGCAGGUUAAAACUGAAUUUAUAACCUCUGUCCCAAAAGUGUUUCCCUAAAUCUGGGAAUAGCACCACUAGUUAUACAAGCCAAUAAUUUGAGAAUCAUUUUGACUCCUUCCUCUCUCUCUUUUCCUUCCUAUCCAAGCAGUUGCUAAAUCCUCUGGCAUCUACUUCUGGAUAUCUCCAAAACAUUCUAUAUUUGUUACCCAUUGUUACAUUGCUGCAUAACUGCAUAGCAUGAUGUUUUACAGAGACUUGAAGUAGGAGAUUAAGACAUGCAACUAUCAGAGGGAAUGGAGUUUUAGACAGAAGGAAAACAAAUACAACAGUUCUAAGAAGAGGCAAAGAUGUCAUGGCUGAUAGAUCAGCCCCAAAUGCAGUGGCCUAGAGCAACAAUAAACAUAUUAUCUCAUAGUUUCUGUGAGUGAGGAAUUAGGAGCAGCAGAGUCAAGGGAUUUGGGCCUGCAUUCUCUCAAAGUUCUAGUCAAGAUGUUAGCCAGGGCUGCGGUCACCUGAAAGCCUGACUAGGGUUCUAGAUCUGCUCCUAAGAGAGCUUCCACUCAAGAUAGUUCCCUUUCAAGUGGUGCUGCUUGUUUACAGUCACCUCAGUUCCUUCCUACGUGGGCCUGUCUGCAGCCUUCUUGGGAGUCUUCAUGACACAACCUUGUCUUCUUAUACUCAAGCAAUUCAAGAGAGUGGGCCACAUGGAAGCCACAAUAUCCUUUAGGACCUAUCCUGGGAAAUCAUAUUAUUAUUUCUGCCAUUGGUUACACAGGUCAGCCAGCUCCACUCACUCAGGGAGGGGCUCAUACAGAGCAGGAAGACCAGAGGCAGGGCUCUUUGGGAGCCAUCUUUGAGGCUGGCUGCCACGGCUGCCACCCAUCUCCACUAUCAUGUUCUGAUGUUUGGAUACAUACCCCCAUCAUUCUUCAUUCUAUUUUUUUUUUUUUAAUGGCUGCCCCUGUGGCAUAUGGAAAUUCCCAGGCCAGCAGCCAAAUUGGAGCUACAGCUGUGGCCUAUGACACAGCCAUGGCAAUACCAGAUCCGAGCCACAGCUGGGAUCUACACCACAGCUUGCAGCAAUGCCAGAUCCUUAACCCACUGAGCCAGGCCAGAGAUAGAACCCACAGAGACAACAUUGGGUCCUUAACCUGCUGAGCCACAAGCGGAACUUCUCAUUCUUCAUUCUUAGUUAGAGAGAACUGACCAUGAGCUGGCCAAUUUCCUGGGUGUUGGGGAUUCGAUAGUAAAAGCAAAAAAACAAAGACAGCAUCCUGCCUUCAUGACCUUCCAUUCCAGAGAAUAAAAUAAGACAAAUGUACUUAUUUAUUUGUCUCUAUCCAGUGUGAUUCACACAUAAGUAAGUACAUUCGUCUUAUUUGCCUAGCCAAGAGCAAGAGAGAGUGAUGGCUGGGGGAAGGGUUUACAUGGAGCAGAUAGGGAAAACCUUCUGAUAAGGUGACAUUUUAGCAGAGAUCUGAAGACAGUGCGGGAAUAAGACAUGUAAAUACCUGUCCAUGAGACCAGAGUUUUAAGAAGAGGUAAAUGCAAGUGCAAAAGCCUCGAGGAAAGCACACUUAGUGUCAUCAAGAAAAGCAGAAAGGCUAUGGUGACUGUAGGUGGGGAGUGGUAGGAAGACAGGUUGGUGGGGGAGGAAUGGCAAAAUCAAUUUUGCCAUCAGAAGAACUUGGGCUUUUGCUCUGAAUGUUGGGAAAGACGUUGGAAAGUUUUGAAUAAAUGGAUGGCAGGAUUUAACUUAUGUUUAAAAGGAUCUUUCUGGCUACCUUAUAGAAAAUAGACUAGACUAUGCAAAAGGAAGUAUAGAAGAAAGGAAGCAAUUAAGAGAUGAGUUCUUUCAUUAAGACAAUGGAUGAUGUUCUUGAACCAGAAUGUUAGCGGUAGGUGCGAAUUACAUAUGUGUUUGGAGGUAGAGCUGAGAAGCGUUUCUGAUAUACUGGAUAUGGGUGUGAGAAAAAAAGAGAGUCAAGAAUAACACCAGGGUUUGGACCUGAGUCACUAGGAAAAUGUAGUUGCCUUUGUUGAAGUGGAAGACCACAGGACAGUAAGGGGUGGAGGCGUUUGGUUCUGGACCCAUAAACUUGAAUUCACUAUUAGACAUCCAUGUAGAGAUGUUCAGCUGUCAUGAGACGAGUCUGGAGGAGAAAUCUGCAUGGGAGAUAUAAACUUCAGACUAGAUAAGACUGUCGGGAAAGUUUAUAUAAAGAGACAAGUCGAAGGACUGAGCUCUAGGACCCUCUACCCCGCUACCUGCAAUGGGAAAAUGAAGAAAAACCAGCCAAGGAGGCAGAUGGAAGGAGUGUCCAGUGAGGAAUGAAAAGGAAAGAAAAGGAGGAGGAUCAGUUAAAUUUUUUUCGAAAAAGGAGAUGCCUUCCUGUGUCAAAUGAAUCCAAUAAAAUGACUUUGUAAAGACUUCAAAUUUUCCUGUGACUGGAAUAGUUUUCUUUGGAUGUGAAGAGAAUUGAUCACUAGGUUUAGCAAUGGGAUGUCAACAGUGACCUCCCAGUAUCAGAGGAGUGGUAGGGGACAAAAGCCUGGAAUGGGUUCUCCAAUAUGUUUUUUUUCCAGUGCCACCAAACAGUUCUCCAGUUCUCAGAGGAUACUCGACUAUGUGUCCUGAUGUGAUUUAUCUGUGAGAUAGCAUCAGAUCACACAAAUUAAGCACGUAGCCCCACAAAAUUGCACUCCCUCUCCCACUUCAGAUGCCAAUUACGGGUCCAGGUUGUCACCUGUGCUUUUGACCAACCAGCUAUGGGCUGGAGGUUCCCACAGUCCCCAACUUGGGUUUGAUUAGUUUGUUAGGGCUGCUCAAAGAACUCAGAGAAACAUUUACGUAGGUUUACCAAUUUAUUAUAAGGGAUUUUAUAAAGGAUACUGAUUAACUGAGAGAUGAACUACAUAAGGUGAGAUCUGAAAAGUCCCAGACACAGGAGUCUUUUGUCCCCAUGAACCCAGGAUGCACCCCUCCCCCCCAGCCUGUGCAUGUGUUCACCAACCCAGAAGCUCAUCAAAUCUUGUUCACAAGAGGUUUUUUUUUUAAUCUUCUUUCAGUUCUUUUUUUAAAUGAUUUUUAUUUUUCCCAUUAUAGUUGAUUUACUACAAGAAGUUUUUAGGGCUGAAAGCUCUAACCCUCUAAUCAUGUGGGUGACACAAGCGGCCCCAUCUCAAGGCUACCUAAGGGCACCCCUGGCAAGUUACAUCAUUAGCAUAAGCUCAAAAGGGGGUCCUCAUGAAGAACAAAAGACACUGCUACC